RNAcentral lists this ribosomal RNA (500 nucleotides) under uncultured bacterium. Its description in RNAcentral is "partial 16S ribosomal RNA". It matches the Rfam family "Bacterial small subunit ribosomal RNA", at positions 30 to 523 of the family's 1533-position model. The record is from RNAcentral.
AUUGAACGCUGGCGGCAUGCCUUACACAUGCAAGUCGAACGGCAGCACGGGAGCAAUCCUGGUGGCGAGUGGCGAACGGGUGAGUAAUAUAUCGGAACGUGCCCAGUCGUGGGGGAUAACGCAGCGAAAGCUGUGCUAAUACCGCAUACGAUCUAUGGAUGAAAGCGGGGGAUCGCAAGACCUCGCGCGAUUGGAGCGGCCGAUAUCAGAUUAGCUAGUUGGUGGGGUAAAGGCCCACCAAGGCGACGAUCUGUAGCUGGUCUGAGAGGACGACCAGCCACACUGGAACUGAGACACGGUCCAGACUCCUACGGGAGGCAGCAGUGGGGAAUUUUGGACAAUGGGCGCAAGCCUGAUCCAGCAAUGCCGCGUGCAGGAUGAAGGCCUUCGGGUUGUAAACUGCUUUUGUACGGAACGAAACGGUCCUUUCUAAUACAGAGGGCUAAUGACGGUACCGUAAGAAUAAGCACCGGCUAACUACGUGCCAGCAGCCGCAGUAA